CGUAGGUGGCAAGCGUUGUCCGGAUUUAUUGGGUUUAAAGGGUGCGUAGGCGGCCGCCUAAGUCAGUUGUGAAAUACCCCGGCUCAACCGGGGGGGGUGCGAUUGAUACUGGGCGGCUCGAGUAACAGCGAGGUUGGCGGAAUUGACGGUGUAGCGGUGAAAUGCAUAGAUAUCGUCAAGAACACCGAUAGCGAAGGCAGCCAACUAGGGGUUAACUGACGCUGAGGCACGAAAGUGCGGGGAUCAAACAGGAUUAGAUACCCUGGUAGUCCGCACUGUAAACGAUGAUUACUCGAUGUUGGCGAUAGACAGCCAGCGUCCAAGGGAAACCGAUAAGUAAUCCACCUGGGGAGUACGCCGGCAACGGUG
Molecule: ribosomal RNA, 369 nt
Filed under: uncultured organism
Description: bacterial SSU rRNA
Rfam family: Bacterial small subunit ribosomal RNA
Source: RNAcentral